This 7423-nucleotide ribosomal RNA is filed under the name Triticum aestivum (bread wheat). Its description in RNAcentral is "partial small subunit ribosomal RNA". The record is from RNAcentral. Lineage: Eukaryota; Viridiplantae; Streptophyta; Magnoliopsida; Poales; Poaceae.
GAUCGGCGGCGUAGCAAGGGGAGGUCGAGAGAGAGGGAGAGAGCUGCGACCGGUAGCAUCGUGCGGCGGAUGUCGGCGACGGCGGCGGCGGCACGAGGAUAGGUGAAGAGGGGAAAGUAGAGGACAGCGGCUCUAGCAACGGCGGCGCGACGAGAGGGCAGCUCGAGCGGGGAGUGGCAACGACCCUCCUCUGCCAACUGGGAGACUAACAUAGCUGCGGCUGCUCAAGCCACCCGUGGCACAGGAAGAUGUGGCAGUGGCCGCGGCGGAGGAGCACUCUAGGGGUGGUACCUAAACACCACUACAUCCUAGACACCACUACAUCUUCCCGUCGUCCCGUCGUCGGAGUUGCGGUGUCCAUUGGCGACUCCUACAAAUUUUUCCUGUGGUGGUUAUCGUCUCGUGAGAUAACGACGUUAAUAUACGUCGCACACACAUACUACAACAACCCAACAACUGUACCGGGUACCAGGUCAACGCCGAGUACGAGUUCCGUGCCAGCUCCGACCACAACCCAACCAUCCACCAGCACCGGCACCGGUACCCGCAAGACGACCAGCAGCACCUGCUCGGUGACCGACACCUCCAAGAUUAUAUCCCGCACGGGGAUAAAGACUAUUACAGCGACGAACGGCUCACGGACUGCGACCUCGACUCGGAGAACUGUCCGCAUCCCCACACUCAGCCGCCCACGGACGACGACCUCGACUCGGAUAGCGGUCCGCACCCGCACCGCGAGCCGUCCACGGACGGCGACCCGCACCGCGGUACGGAGUUGGUUCACCAUCCCUCGGUUCACCAUCGCCACAAGCACCGGUACAGGGACCAGCACCACGACUAAGACCCUUACGUCGGCGACGACAACAGGGACCACCCCGACGACCAGGAUCCAAGUGGCGGCGAGGAUCCGCACGCCGCCAGGGACCCUAACGAUCUGCAAUGCACGGUACAGUCGGACAACCCACAGGAGGAGCUUCGGCAUGUUCACUACCGACCAAGGGAAAAGACUCGAGCUGGCACCGACGCCAUUUAGUGUCUUUUGCCUUUUACACGCAACUCAAAGCCGCGUGAGCUAUACUUCUUGUACAGCAACUACCCGGAAACGGCUUCCUAACCGUACCAAAGAGUCAAAUACACUCAAGCCUCCACUGACCCCAUCUGGCGUUGUCUGCCUUUUCUGCCUUUCACAGCUAAUUUAACACUGCAGGACCUACGCUUCUCUAACAACAGGUUCCCGUACACGGUUUCCUAACCGUUCCAAAGAGCCAGUUCAAACGGCUCAGGGAAUUUCGAACGAUACGUCUAUCCAGCAUGAUGCCGGGAGGCCUAAAGAACACGGUUAUUACACCACGGAGGAAAACCAAACGACUCACAAGUUUCAGGUCCAGUAGGACCUGUGUUGCAUUCUACCAAAUAUUAGCGACAACAUUUCCGCGAUUCCAUAUAUAAGGAGGGAAAUUCCUAGGGGGACGGAUAGAGGCACUCGAGGAAGCUAAGCUACCAUGAAGAGCACGAUUUUUUAAGUAGGCCUGAUAUGCACUCAUGUUCACAUACAAGCGAAAGUGAAGCUACCCACGAUGAUAACUUGCGAGCAAACCACCGUCGGCACCUGGAUUCUAAAAAUUCUAGUCACCAGUUCACAGAGUAGCAUAACCAAGCAACCACGGAUCGCCACUACUAUGUGGAUUCAAACGACUCAACAUAUAUGUACUGGGUCGAUUACUCUAAUCUGUAUCCUACUUACGGAAUUUAGGUCUACUGUUCGGAUGACCCCCACACCUACUCUCAUAACACCAACCAGAAUCUCUGUACGAAUUACUCAAAUUGGGUAACCAUGUCUGGAAAGCCCUCCGCUCAUUCUACUAUCUCCUAGCACCACUACUUGGGUAGCUCCUAUAGAGCUAAGCAUAAUAACCUGGAAGUCUCCCGCUAUCAGGUGUCAAAUCAAACGGAUGUUGGUGACCCGAACGACGAAAUCAACAGCCACCACCGAAGUGCAAUCUCCGUAGAAGAGCCUAUAACAACAAGCGUCAACAAGGCUGCCAAACGUCGUCUAUAGAAGAGACUUGUGAUGUAAGUACGGAGACGUUAUGGGCAACGAAAAGGGAAUACCUCUCUCUCCCAAGGUCCACCUACAAGGAGUGAACUAACAAGGAUUUCUUCUACUACUGCUACCUGGAUAUCUAGGAUUAGGACGUGGACCUUCAGGCUGGCAACUCCGCAGGAGAAGUAUGGGAAGACCCCCACCACUACGAAGGUGUUUAUCAACCUUAUCCUACUGGUACGUCCUAAUGAUAGCAAAAUACACGGUAAUGUUCCCACUAGUCGGGUUAGGUAUAAAUACAAUACCAGAGGAGAGGAGGGUCAGCCAACAACUACGUGCACGCACGUAGCUAUUUUCAUCUAACACCAUAUAGUAUUCUUUAAUCCUGUACGAAUCUAGUCUCGUGUACGUCCCAUAAUGACUACGCCAUCCACUACCCACACAACUACCACUACGAGAACCCUUCUCCUGGUAACAUGGAAGGUCAGUGUAUCCGCCAGCAGCAAUGAAGGUACUUUUAAAGGUACUACCGGAACGGCAAACAGCCCACGUGCCACGCGGAUUGUAUAAAUGGUGAAAGUGAACGUUAGGGUUCACCGGACUCUAGUGUUCACGUAACCUUGGUCCAGUCUACGGAAGACUAUCCCGCCUAUAACAACAAUCCCAGAUAGUGUACUUCGAGUGGCUCAUGAACCUACUCUAAUUCAGUCCGGCCCGAAAACCGGGGUAAUGUCGACACAACAUAUGGCAACUCAAGGUCUUCGCCCCUGACGGAGUGCGCGUAUAUGAACAGACCGCCUCUCCCCCAUUGCCACUCUAACCACAACUUUUAUAGUUAAGUAAUUAUAGACGACUUUAUGGACUACGUAACGAACUAGGAGAUCCUAUACGAAAUCAAAGACUCAAAUACUACGUGCCAGGCACACCACUUUACUUGCUAUUUACACAGACGUACUUUUUCCCACAAACAAGAUUUAUAAAGGGUUUUCUAAAAUCUCUAUGGUGACAGUAACUACUAUUACCCAAACGGAAUAUAGCUACAGCACUGCUGCCAGCUUCCCAGAUAUUUUUACCAGUAAUGGAACUGUUAUCCGUACAACAAGGAAUAUUAUACCGUUACGAGUUCUUUAAAGUCCCUGUAUAUUUACAUCUCACCACAUUAUUCUGUGUCCACUACUUUAUAGAGAAAUUCAUACAGUAGUUUCCACGACUGAUGAGAUUCCAGUACAAUCUUUCCGAUUUUUUAAACUGAUUUAGACCAACAGCAUGUCAUCUACUCCAAGUCCUCAUAGACUAUACAGCCAUAUAUACACUCAUACUACGUAACACCGCGUAUAAACCCAAACUUUAUGUGAAAUUUUACGGCAGCCAAGUUUCCAACUGGCAAGUAUACGGACCGUACUUAUGAUAGAUGAUAGCACGACCACGACUGGAGUGCUUUUAACAACUAAGACUGAAGAACGCUUUCUGAUACGAAUGGCUUACCAAACAACGCUUACUCUACAAGCUUCUACGAGCAAGUAAUUGAAUAACGCUAAAAGGUUGACGAACCUGGACCCUGCGAUUUUCAUCCAGUACCGUAGGUUCCCCACCCCCACUUUUCUAACCGGUGCACAUAAUACAUGUAGGAAACUCACCACUCAACAUAAUGAACGCGUACGAAAACUACUAACAAUUCCCCCGAUCCAGAAAGCUUCUAGAAGCUUGUAUACUACCAGCAGAAAUAGUGUGGAAAUUUCUCCGAACACGACGCGCGCCAAACAAUCCUCUACUAUUACUCACCAUGUAUCGCAAACUACUUCGCCAACAAACCCCCAAACCCGUAGCUGAAUCUGUCGAUAAACACUGAUACGAGUACGUAACAAGAUAGUUCCUGCUCUACCCCAAGAAACUUGCAAUGACGCGAUCGUACAUGCUACUAUAGGUUGUACCCAACGCAGCACGGGACCCAUUAGAUUUGAUACAACAAGGAGGACUUUCUAACUCUUUAUACGAAGAACUACUCAACCGACUGUAAAAGAACUUUGCACCAAGACUAUAUUCUUCAAAAUUGAACAGCAGAGCGAGACCAUUUCCACUCGUCAGACUACUAUUAGCAGAUUAAGUACUCCUUGACAGAAUACUACGUACACGAGACAGAUUUGUCAGGAACCAAUACAAACUAUCAAAUUUACUCCUGGUUAACCAACGAAUAUUCUGCUAACAUCUCACACACGUCCGCCCCUCUGGCCCGAAAAAAAAAACAGAGACCCAUACCACCAUGACCCUUCUGUAUGGACACCUCACGUUAUACACGAAAGGAAUCCCCGCUCUCCUUCUAUCACGAAUGACAACGCAGCAGCCCGUAACGCAGCGACAACAACGGACCACCCUCCUGACGAGUAAGAGCGAAAUUCUAUGGAUAAGAAGAACUUCUAUUAUGUGUUACACUAUAAUUUUCUCCGAGAUUCGAAACAUUCAACAACUACCAUAGGAGCGAACAAUAAACCCUGCUCCGCGACUACUGUGUGUCCUUUACGAAACUCCGACAUCUAUCUUGAAACGCACUACAGGAGAGACACCGAUUAGGUCUAGAACGACUAUAAGGCAAGCCACCUCAUCACUACCAGAACCCACCACUGGAAUCUGUUUAGAAUGGCCAGCAACUCCCUCCAUGAUCCGGAGUCUAGUAACUACGCCGUUAGUGCUUAAGAGGCGAUACCGUAAGACAAUUUUUUUACAGCGAAGUGUACGCGAACCCACACGUACCACGCCUAUGGGUCCGUGUUUUCCUACAACGGAAUAAAUCGUCUACCCACGAUCUAGAACCCCUUCCCUUCAACGGACAGUAUUCCGCUCCACUACUCCAACUCCGAAGAACCUAUGUCUAUGGCCUGCUGGAGAACCAAACAUGCAGACCACUAGGUUAUCGACGAUAACAAAGAAGACAGAUACCACCAAAAAAAAGUAUUGAUGGACUUGAGACCAAUGAACGUUCUCUCUCGGUAAAAUCGGGGAUGGUUACUGGUACGACUCCUAUAAUUACUAGUAUAAGAACGUAACCAAGGAUGACUAUCGUCUCUGAUAAACUCACGACUAAGAUAACUACUAAGAAGCCUAAGACAAUCCCUGUUUCUACAAAUGAUAGGUCAGCUCAUGGACUUACGUUGAUUUUAAUAUUUAAAGGGUUUAGUAUCCGACUGAGAAUUCCAACCACAAGGCCAAUACGAAGAAUCUUUGGGCUCGGUCCGUUUACCAAACACAUUACCAUGUGCUGAUUAACAUUUUCUUAAUCCACUAGCCGAAUAGCUUCGACAGUAAUACUGACCGAGUGUACACCCACUAUGACAAAUAUAGGGGUCCUAACUUAAUAACCGUUUCUUCCCUUUACGUGGGAAACACGAAUCUGCAGCGGUCAAAGGACAAACACACACGAUACGGUACUGUUAAUUAUUCUCGGUCCCUGUCUGGGACAGACGACAACCAUAUAUAGAAUUCCCAGGACAAAAAUGUGUGCCCGUCGACAUACACCGUCACAGAGCACAAUGCAGCUCCCGAAGAAACUUUUAGGAAUAUAAUCUACGACUACCGUUUACGCCGAGACUCUGGUUCUUGUAACAAAAAGGACUCCAGAAGGCCCGGCGCCCCUACUGAAUCCAAACACAUACUACCAUCAGAAGUAAAACCAUCAAAAACCGUACGAAAACACUCAACCUACGAUAAAACCCACCACAGUAUAUCACAACCGACUUAUUUAUACAGCAGGGUACGCUACCCCCACUAUAAAACUUACAAGCGCACAUGACCCUAACCGAAAUAUAUAAGACGCCAAACCAAAUACAGUAUCUCUCAUGACUCAAAUUACCACUUCAACGCAAAACCACGACUAUGAAAACAACAUCUACCGCUACUGACUAGAUGUCCGAAAACAACACCCCUUGUUCUUGGACUGGUAGACACACAUACAAAGCGUAGACAUCGUCGUAACACCUAGGUGACUAUUACCAGGAUAGUUUGUGUGACUGUACCAGAAAAACCUACACGUCCAGAUUGUAUAUACGACUCUAACCACUCUUCGAACACGGAUUCAUUUUAACUCUGUUGGUGUAGGUACAACAAAGAACCGUACCCGUUGGUGUAGAUACGAUUAUAACCGAGGACUCUAGGAAAUAUCCAGAGAACGACACUUCGAACACCAACCGUACUGAAAGUUCGUAAGUUAAGAACACUCCCACCUCAACCUCUUCCACCCCGCAGUCUCGUCUCGGUCAACGUCGUAGGUGCUGGAGGAGCCCGUACUGGUUAGGACGGUCUAACUGGUCCAACGCCCCAAACCAGUCGUCACACACACCGGUCACCAACCUCGUGUGAUUUAAGCUCCUUGUUACGGCAGCAGCUGGUACCUAAGUCUAGGACUCUCAAAACAGUCCUAUCCCUCUCUGUGACUCCGUUUUCCGUUUAUAACUCUAGGUGGUGACUACUGUCGUCAGACGAUGGGACGAGGACACUUCGAGUGGCUUCCGGACGGGGAGGGUGGCACCAUAGGAGAGAGUCGAACGUGGAGAAGUACUUGAAGUCGAUCCAUACUCCGUGUUAUUUCCACCGUUAUUCUACACGCCCGUUAAUAGAAACAAAAGCACUGGUACGACUACUCCCACCUCGACGGUAACUCCGUGUAAACCGGAGGCUCCAUAGUUUGGGAGGUUGGAGGUAAAAGAAAUCCUACCAGGGCUCGGGUAGAGUGGAACCAGAAGAGAGGAGGUACCUAAGCUAACACACGUACCUACUCCUUUCUCAGUAACGUUCUCCACAACCACCUCUGCCUCCAACUCACCUGCUAGCUGUAUGUGCUGCAGUAGAUAUUGACGGAGAUACCGAAGGAGCCGGAGGUACAGUCGGAGGGACGAAGUGAUUUCGUUUUCCCAAACGUCGCAACACACCACUACCGGGACGGGGACCGGUUAUAGCUACGAGUAUCCUCACUAGAAACCGAUACCUCCGCAUCGAAGCCUACCAGAUGUUGUCACAGACCAAAGAGACGACCGAGAUUAAUACAGUGCAGUACAACCAACCGUAUGUAAAUAAAGACAUAAACCGUGAAGACCAACCGACUACAACAAUACAACAGGUGCCCUUGUGUCAUGAAUGCAACCACAGAUACUAUCUGAAAACAACAAGAUGACGGACGUGGGACAAGCAAAUCUUCUACUUCCCCUACCUACGUUUGAAUACAUACGUUACGUCCUACUAGUACCAUCGAAUACAUUAACAGCGACCAGAAGACAUACUUACCAAACGAAGCUAUAAAAACACAAUAAAAGAGGGGACUACGUGAUGACUUACGAAGGAGAUAUACGUGUUGGACCAGAUUAAUAAUACUAGGAUACAUGAGGAUUAGGA